RNAcentral lists this ribosomal RNA (492 nucleotides) under uncultured bacterium. RNAcentral's name for it is "partial 16S ribosomal RNA". It matches the Rfam family "Bacterial small subunit ribosomal RNA", at positions 29 to 507 of the family's 1533-position model. The record is from RNAcentral.
AGUGAACGCUGGCGGUAGGCCUAACACAUGCGAGUCGAACGGCAGCACAGUAAGAGCUUGCUCUUACGGGUGGCGAGUGGCGGACGGGUGAGGAAUACAUCGGAAUCUACUUUUUCGUGGGGGAUAACGUAGGGAAACUUACGCUAAUACCGCAUACGACCUACGGGUGAAAGCAGGGGAUCUUCGGACCUUGCGCGAUUGAAUGAGCCGAUGUCGGAUUAGCUAGUUGGCGGGGUAAAGGCCCACCAAGGCGACGAUCCGUAGCUGGUCUGAGAGGAUGAUCAGCCACACUGGAACUGAGACACGGUCCAGACUCCUACGGGAGGCAGCAGUGGGGAAUAUUGGACAAUGGGCGCAAGCCUGAUCCAGCCAUACCGCGUGGGUGAAGAAGGCCUUCGGGCUGUAAAGCCCUUUUGCUGGGAAAGAAAAGCAGCAGGUUAAUACCCCGCUGUUCUGACGGUACCCAAAGAAUAAGCACCGGCUAACUUCGUG